Molecule: ribosomal RNA, 804 nt
Filed under: uncultured bacterium
Lineage: Bacteria
Description: bacterial SSU rRNA
Rfam family: Bacterial small subunit ribosomal RNA
Source: RNAcentral
AGAGUUUGAUCCUGGCUCAGGAUGAACGCUGGCGGCGUGCUUAACACAUGCAAGUCGAACGAAGCACUAACGACAGAAGCUUUCGGGUGGAAGAUGUAAGUGACUGAGUGGCGGACGGGUGAGUAACGCGUGGGUAACCUGCCUCACACAGGGGGAUAACAGUUAGAAAUGACUGCUAAUACCGCAUAAGCGCACAGUGCUGCAUGGCACAGUGUGAAAAACUCCGGUGGUGUGAGAUGGACCCGCGUCUGAUUAGCUGGUUGGUGAGGUAACGGCCCACCAAGGCGACGAUCAGUAGCCGGCCUGAGAGGGUGAACGGCCACAUUGGAACUGAGACACGGUCCAAACUCCUACGGGAGGCAGCAGUGGGGAAUAUUGCACAAUGGGGGAAACCCUGAUGCAGCGACGCCGCGUGAGUGAAGAAGUUAUUCGUAAUGUAAAGCUCUAUCAGCAGGGAAGAUAAUGACGGUACCUGACUAAGAAGCCCCGGCUAACUACGUGCCAGCAGCCGCGGUAAUACGUAGGGGGCAAGCGUUAUCCGGAUUUACUGGGUGUAAAGGGUGCGUAGGUGGUAUGGCAAGUCAGAAGUGAAAACCCGGGGCUCAACCCCGCGGAUUGCUUUUGAAACUGUCAGACUGGAGUACCGGAGAGGUAAGCGGAAUUCCUAGUGUAGCGGUGAAAUGCGUAGAUAUUAGGAGGAACACCAGUGGCGAAGGCGGCUUACUGGACGGUAACUGACGUUGAGGCUCGAAAGCGUGGGGAGCAAACAGGAUUAGAUACCCUGGUAGUCCACGCCGUAAACGA